Long non-coding RNA from Olea europaea var. sylvestris, 400 nucleotides. RefSeq lists it as uncharacterized. The record is from RefSeq and is a predicted model, not a curated record. NCBI's taxonomy places the organism in Eukaryota, Viridiplantae, Streptophyta, Magnoliopsida, Lamiales, Oleaceae. The transcript is spliced from 2 exons.
UUGGUGUAUAGAAUGUGGGUGAAACUGAGCCCUAAUCCUCGUGCAUCCAGGGUUGAUGUCGAAUUAAAAUUUUGUAUUGAUUUUGUUCAAUUUUGAGUUAAAAUUAAUGGUUUAAGUUUCAAGACCGUGAAUAAUCUCUUGCAGAGAAUUGAGGCAACUCAAUUGAUUUAGAAAUUUGAGCCUGUGUUUGAUCAACUGAUCAAAUUUGGUGAGCCCGAUCUCUCUACUUCACCCACUCACUUUAAUCUUCUUUGAAAUUUAUUUAAGCAACACAGUCAUACUUCAAAUUUAUGAUCCAUACAAAACAAUUCUCGCAACUACUUUCUGCGAUGGAAAUUAUUACUGACAAGGUCGAUUUAUUGAAGUAGCAAACUGCUACAUAUGACACGACCUACAGAGA